GCCUCAGUGGUGUAGAGGUUAUCAUACCUGGUUCAAUUAAUUACUGUCAACACUGUCGAAUGUGAGAGCAGGUGACAUGGGUUUGAUUCCCUUCUGAGGCA
Gymnopus androsaceus JB14 is the source of this 101-nucleotide non-coding RNA. Lineage: Eukaryota; Fungi; Basidiomycota; Agaricomycetes; Agaricales; Omphalotaceae. The record is from the annotation of a GenBank genome assembly.